RNAcentral lists this ribosomal RNA (433 nucleotides) under uncultured bacterium. Its description in RNAcentral is "partial 16S ribosomal RNA". It matches the Rfam family "Bacterial small subunit ribosomal RNA", at positions 29 to 507 of the family's 1533-position model. The record is from RNAcentral.
AACGAACGCUGGCGGCAGGCCUAACACAUGCAAGUCGAGCGAGCAUUUCGGUGCUAGCGGCGGACGGGUGAGUAACGCGUGGGAACGUGCCCUUUUCUGCGGAAUAGUCCUGGGAAACUGGGGGUAAUACCGCAUACGCCCUUUUGGGGAAAGAUUUAUCGGAGAAGGAUCGGCCCGCGUUGGAUUAGGGAGUUGGUGGGGUAAUGGCCCACCAAGCCGACGAUCCAUAGCUGGUUUGAGAGGAUGAUCAGCCACACUGGGACUGAGACACGGCCCAGACUCCUACGGGAGGCAGCAGUGGGGAAUCUUAGACAAUGGGGGCAACCCUGAUCUAGCCAUGCCGCGUGAGUGAUGAAGGCCUUAGGGUUGUAAAGCUCUUUCAGCUGGGAAGAUAAUGACGGUACCAGCAGAAGAAGCCCCGGCUAACUCCGUG